UAGCACAGAGAGCUUGCUCUCGGGUGACGAGCGGCGGACGGGUGAGUAAUGUCUGGGAAACUGCCUGAUGGAGGGGGAUAACUACUGGAAACGGUAGCUAAUACCGCAUAAUGUCGCAAGACCAAAGUGGGGGACCUUCGGGCCUCAUGCCAUCAGAUGUGCCCAGAUGGGAUUAGCUAGUAGGUGGGGUAACGGCUCACCUAGGCGACGAUCCCUAGCUGGU
RNAcentral lists this ribosomal RNA (223 nucleotides) under Klebsiella pneumoniae. RNAcentral describes it as "partial 16S ribosomal RNA". It matches the Rfam family "Bacterial small subunit ribosomal RNA", at positions 68 to 291 of the family's 1533-position model. RNAcentral also lists the same sequence under 7 other names. Lineage: Bacteria; Pseudomonadati; Pseudomonadota; Gammaproteobacteria; Enterobacterales; Enterobacteriaceae. The record is from RNAcentral.